AGAGGUGGAUCACAAGGAUCUCUUAAAUACCAAGUCUUUCCUUAGUCAGAAUAUCCCUUCUAUAGUAAUUUAAUAGCACAAUUAAAUACUACUAUUAUACCCUCAAAUAUUGAAAGAAAAUAGGACAAGAAAGAACACAAGAGUUUUAACGAGGUUCGGUAAAUUAUACCUACGUCUUCGGGCACUAACACCAGAUGAUAACUUUACUAUCUCCAAAAUAUUACAAACAAAUAGAAUUCCUUAAGAAUUCUCAAAUGGGAGAAGAGAGAAAACUAAGAGAGAAAGAUUGGUUAGGAUGGUUGAAAUGAAAAUGAUUAGGCCUAUUUAUAGUUGAGGAUCAGGGACCAACUUGCAAAUGGCCUAAAAAAUUAGAGACCAAAAUUGUAAUUAUCCCAUUCAACUUUAAACAACUUGCCUAUCACUUUUUCUUUCGGUGCCAAUUGCACCUCCCAUUUUUGACUUUUCAACACCCCCUUAAUUGACUUUUCAACAAUCUCCACCUUAAAGAUUUAAUUAGGAUAAUCACAUCUUCACACACUUCCUUCAACUCCCCAUAUUCGAUAAAGCUAUCUUUUGUAGUGCCUCCAAAUGCGCUCUCAAGCGCCAUACACCUGAAGGUGCUCAAAUUCUCAGGAUGUUAAUCAAGUUCAAACAAUGAUUAAACUUGAUUGUUGUUACCACCUUGGCCAUCAUAUCUGCGGGAUUAUCUGUUGUCGGAAUCUUCUGAAGUAGAAUUUUUCCUUUUUCAAAGACUUCCCGCACAAAGUGAUAUCUUACGUCGAUAUACUUGGUUCUUGAAUGAUAGACUUGAUUUUUCGCUAAAUGAAUAGCGCUCUGACUGUCACAAUAUAGACUAAUGUGACUUUGAACAACUCCCAAGUCUUUCAACAAUCCAUUAAGCCAAAUAGCCUCCUUAACAGCUUCUGUAACUGCCAUAUAUUCUGCCUCUGUAGUAGACACUGCUACUGUAGACAGUAAGGUAGACUUCCAACUCACUGGGCUUUCGCAAGAGUAAACAGAUACCCCGUAGUUGACCGACGUUUACCUAAAUCACCAGCAAAGUCGGAAUCAACAUAUCCAACUACAAACUGACCAAGUGCUUCAUCCUGUUCAAAAAUUAAACCAACAUCUACGGUUUUUUUGAAGAUACCGUAGAAUUCAUUUCACAGCUUGCCAAUGUCCUUUUCCAGGAUCAUGCAUAUACCUGCUCACAACUCCAACAACUUGUGAAAUGUCAGGCCGCAUACACACCAUCGCAUACAUCAAACUUCCAACUGCAUUAGCAUAUGAGACUUUUGUCAUAUAUUCUCUUUCUUCUUCAGUUUUCGGAGAUAAUUGAGCACUAAGUUUCAAAUGAGAAGCAAGUGGGGUUACAUGUUUUGUGUUUUCAUUUACACCAAAACAUUGUAAUAUCUUUUCUAGAUAUUGCUUCUGAUUAAAACAAAGCUUGCCUUUCUGUCUAUCUCUACUUAUCUCCAUGCCGAGAAUCUUCUUGGCCUCACCUAGAUCUUUCAUCUCGAACUCUUGAUUCAACUGAGCCUUCAGCUUAUCUAUCUCUUUUUGGCUCUUCGAAGCGAUUAACAUAUCAUCAACAUACAAGAGUAGAUAAAAGAAAGAUCCGUCAUGCAGCUUCUGCAAAUACACACAAUUUUUAUAUUUGCUUCUUGUGUACUUCUGCCUUCUCAUAAAGCUAUCAAAUCGCUUGUACCACUGCCUCGGGGAUUGCUUCAAUCCAUAUAGCGAUUUGUUCAGCUUACAAACCCAAUUUCUACCACCAGCAUCUGUGUAUCCUUCGGGCUGAGUCAUAUAGAUCUCUUCUUCUAACUCACCAUGCAAGAAAGCCGUCUUAACAUCAAGUUGAGCUAGCUCUAAAUUCAACUAUGCUACCAAGGCCAAUAAAAUUCUGAUGGAGGAAUGCUUCACAACAGGGGAAAAUACAUCAUUGUAGUCAAUUCCCUCCUUCUGAGCGUAGCCUUUAGCUACCAAUCUUGCCUUGUAGCGAAUAUCUUUCUUGCUAGGAGAUCCAUCUUUCUUUGCGAAUACCCACUUGCAUCCGAUUGCCCUUUUACCUUUCGGUAAUUACGCCAACACCCAAGUAUUGUUCUUCCGGAGAGACUGCAUUUCUUUAUCCAUGGCGCUUUUCCAUUUAUCACUUUCUAAGCUUUGCAUUGCUUCUUGAUCAGUGAUAGGAAUAUCAUCAUCAACAACGGGAAGGGCGUAGGCCACCAUAUCAGUAAAUCGAGCAGGUCUACGAAUUUCACUCCGUGGCCUUGCAACUGCAACUGGUUCUGGUGUACUUAACGGUUCUUGGGUCAGAAUCUCUUCAACCUCUAAUUCCUCCAUUGUGUCUGGAGAAUUAGACUUAUUAACUGGGCAAAUCCCCAUCUGCUCAAACUCCACCUGUUUUGGAUACACUCCACCUGCUGUGGAGUAUCGUUCGUCUGAAUAUCUUUAUCUGUUACCUUUUUCAAUGUGGCAGAUUCAUCAAAGGUAACAUCUCUGCUACAGAUCAUUUUCUUUGUGUCUAAGCACCAAAGACGAAAUCCCUUCACUCCUGAAGUGAUUCCCAUAAAGAGAGCUUUCUUUACCCUCGGAUCUAACUUUGACUCCUUCACAUGGUAAUAUGUAGUAGAUCCAAACACAUGUAAGGAAUCAUAAUCUGUAGUCGGUUUUCCAGACCAUACCUCCAUAGGAGUUUUUCUUUCUAAUGCAGAUGAUGGCAAACGAUUAACAAGAUGGCCAGCGUAUGUCACAGCCUCAGCCCAAAAUUGCUUGCCCAACCCAGCAUUGGACAACAUACAUCGAACUUUCUCUAGCAAUGUUCGAUUCAUACGCUCUGCCACUCCAUUCUGCUGUGGUGUAUCCCUAACUGUGAAGUGUCGAACAAUACCAUACUCUUGGCACACAUCGAAGAACGGAUCACUUUUAUAUUCCCCUCUAUUGUCCAUCCUAAGCCGCUUGAUUUUCUUGCCAGUCUGGUUUUCGAUCAUAUUUUUCUAUUUAAGAAAAACUCCAAGUACUUCGUCCUUAGUUCUCAUGGUAUACACCCAAACUCUUCUGGAAAAGUCAUCAACAAAAGUAACAAAGUAGUGUUUUCCUCCCAACGAAGGUGUUUUGGAAGGCCCCCACACAUCUGAGUGAAUAUAUUCCAAAAUACCUUUUGUAUUAUGGAUAGCAGUGCCGAAUUUUACUCUUUUUUGCUUUCCCAGAAUACAAUGCUCGCAAAAUUUUAAUUUGCAAGCCUUUGCACCUUUCAACAAUCCUUGCUUUGCCAGAAUUUGUAAGGAUUUUUCGCUGGCAUGUCCCAACUUCAUAUGCCACAACUGCAUUGAGUCCAAUUCUUUGUUACCGAAAGCUGCAGCGAUUGCUCCAAUAACUGUACUACCUUGGUAGUAAUACAAGUUAUUUUUCCUGAUGCCCUUCAAUAUCACAAGUACGCCAGAUGUCACUUUUAAAACCCCAUCUCUCAUAGUAACAACUGAACCAUUGGAUUCCAAGGCUCCCAAUGAGAUGAGAUUUUUCUUCAAACUGGGCACGUACCGAACAUCAGUCAGAACUCUGGUUGAUCCAUCUUGAUUCUUUAAUUGGAUUGAACCUAUCCCAACAGUUUUACAGGCAUUGUCAUUGCCCAUAUAAACAACUCCUCCAUUUAGUUCUACUAAAUCAGAGAACCACUCCCGGUUAGGAGACAUAUGAUAGGUACAACCCGAAUCCAAUAUCCACUCAUCUGAAUGGAACGACAAUGAUGAUGCAACCGGUGAUAGUUCAGAGUCACUGGUAUCAUGCUUUGCAACACAAGCAUCUAUAACAGCUUUUCCCUUAUUCUUCAACUUUGGACAAUUUUUCUUCUAGUGGCCUUUCUCAUGACAAAAGGCACAUUCAUGUUUCCUGAGUCUGGACUUUGACUUUGAUCUCCCUUUCUGAGUUUUCUUCCGAGUGUAUGAACGACCUCGGAUUACUAAAGCUUCUGUAUCUCUGAUUGAGUUUUUCUGUUUGUCCUUCUUUCUUUGUUCAUAACUGUAUAAGGUCGCACAGACUUCGCUCAGAGAUAUAUCACUCCUGCCAUGAAGUAGAGUAGUUUCUAGGAACUUAAACUCCUUAGGAAGUGACCCCAACAGCAUCAAAGCCAAAUCUUCAUCUUUGAAUGUCUCAUCCGUAUUUAGCAAAUCAGUGACUAACUAAUUAAAUUUGGUGAUGUGAUCAUUCAUUGUGGUACCUAGGACGUAAGUGAAGCGAAACAGUCUUUUCUUCAAGUGGAGCUUAUUUUGACUGUUUUUCUUCAAAAAAUUUUCUUCAAGUGCCACCCACAACUUAUUUGCAGAAGUCUCCUUUGAAAAAGCAUACCUCUGCUCUCGAGAAAGGCAUGAUCGAAUUGUGCCACAUGCCAACCGAUUGAUCGCCUUCCAAUCUUUCUCUUGCACAUCAUCUGGUUUCUCUUCAUCAAUGGCAAUGUCUAGACCCUGCUGAAAAAGGGCAUCUAGAACCUCACUUUGCCACAUACCAAAAUGGCCCGUGCCAUCAAAGAUCUCCACGGCCAAUCUUGCAUUUGCAAUUUUCGGUCUUGUCCACAUAGACGAUGUUGAAGCUCCUACACCGACCGUUUUCUCCAUAAUCUUUCAAUAUACCUAACGAAAUCUUUUCUGAUGUGGAACAUCAGUUUAAACUGCAACCACAGAGCAUACUACGAUUAACCUUCGACUCUUGAUACCACUUGUAGUUCCAAUAGGGUCGGAAGCGUGUAAAUUAUUGUGCUAAAAAAUCACACAAAGUUCAAUUCCCAGGGAAGAGAGGUGGAUCACAAGGAUCUCUUAAAUACCAAGUCUUUCCUUAGUCAGAAUAUCCCUUCUAUUGUAAUUUAAUAGCACAAUUAAAUACUACUAUUAUACCCUCAAAUAUUGAAAGAAAAAUAGGACAAGAAAGAACACAAGAGUUUUAACGAGGUUCGGUAAAUUAUACCUACGUCCUCGGGCACUAACACCAGAUGAUAACUUUACUAUCUCC
Molecule: long non-coding RNA, 5001 nt
Filed under: Gossypium barbadense (sea-island cotton)
Lineage: Eukaryota; Viridiplantae; Streptophyta; Magnoliopsida; Malvales; Malvaceae
Description: long non-coding RNA (GBAR_LNC006809)
Source: RNAcentral